GUGCCAGCAGCCGCGGUAAUACGUAGGUCCCGAGCGUUGUCUGGAUUUAUUGGGCGUAAAGCGAGCGCAGGCGGUUUAAUAAGUCUGAAGUUAAAGGCAGUGGCUUAACCAUUGUUCGCUUUGGAAACUGUUAAACUUGAGUGCAGAAGGGGAGAGUGGAAUUCCAUGUGUAGCGGUGAAAUGCGUAGAUAUAUGGAGGAACACCGGUGGCGAAAGCGGCUCUCUGGUCUGUAACUGACGCUGAGGCUCGAAAGCGUGGGGAGCAAACAGGAUUAGAU
This 278-nucleotide ribosomal RNA is filed under the name uncultured Streptococcaceae bacterium. Its description in RNAcentral is "partial 16S ribosomal RNA". It matches the Rfam family "Bacterial small subunit ribosomal RNA", at positions 505 to 783 of the family's 1533-position model. Lineage: Bacteria; Bacillati; Bacillota; Bacilli; Lactobacillales; Streptococcaceae. The record is from RNAcentral.